Canis lupus familiaris (dog) is the source of this 221-nucleotide long non-coding RNA. RefSeq lists it as uncharacterized. NCBI's taxonomy places the organism in Eukaryota, Metazoa, Chordata, Mammalia, Carnivora, Canidae. The transcript is spliced from 2 exons. The record is from RefSeq and is a predicted model, not a curated record.
UGCAAGGAGCCCGAUGUAGGACUCGACCCCGGGACCCCAGGAUCACACCCUGAGCCAAAGACCACUGGCACUAGAUAACUCCAGGCCAAGACCCCCCAGCUUCAGGGAAUGAGUGACAUGAAAGACACCUGCGUCCUACCGUUGUUCUGACUAAUUCCAGGAUGCCUGAGAGGACCCGCACACCAGAUGACAAUCCCCAAUAAAAAACCCAGAAAAGAUGA